This is a long non-coding RNA of Drosophila ananassae, 1444 nucleotides long. RefSeq lists it as uncharacterized. Lineage: Eukaryota; Metazoa; Arthropoda; Insecta; Diptera; Drosophilidae. The record is from RefSeq and is a predicted model, not a curated record. The transcript has 3 exons.
UCUUUCUAUUUGCGUCCCAUUCUUUCGCUUUUCGCACGCCACUCUGUCCGUUGUUUUUUUUUAUUUUUUCAUUUAUUUUUUUUUUUGUUAAUUCAUUAUUGAGGCCAAUUGAAUUUGUGUGUGUGUUGUAUGUAUGUGUGUAAGUGUGUAUGUGUGUGUGUGUGUGUGCCUAGCAGCGUGCUUGAAUGAGUGACGCAGCGACGAAGAGACGGACGGACUGGCCUGCGCUGAGCGAACGAGGGCCUGGCAAGAGACUAUGCAACACGUUUAAAUAUGCGCAACCGACGACGCAGCCGACGGCCAAAACGAACGAACGAAACAGACGAAGAGGGUGAGGGAGAGGGAGACAGCAGAGCAGAGCAGAAAUACAAAAUACAAAAAAAAACAAACAGUAAAAUAAAAAAAAAAGACACUCUCACAGACACAACACUGAUGCAAAACUGUACAUGUAUGUGCUUGUGUACACAAGUAAUUUGGAAGAAGAAGAAGCAGCGACGGCGACGGCAGCAGAAGCAGCAGCUGAGCAGAGAGUUUGAUGACGUCGCCGGUGCUGCCAAAGUCUAACUGUUCGCGGCUGCCCUCGCUUCCCCCCUCCCCCCACACUAAUGCCCUCCCCCCUCCACUCAAGCCCCCAUACCACAAAACGCAUUUUUCUUUACGUAUUUUUUUCGCGUCUUUUUUUUUAUCGAUAAGUGCUAAACGUGUUGGUUCUUGUUGUUGUUUGGGUCAAGAGUUCGAAAAGGAAGAGUGAUCGACUUGUUUAAUACCCUAUAAUUGUGUGCUACCCUGGCUGGCGGCUGGGACGACUAGAGUUGCCAGACCAAUGUCAGCUGGCGAAGGACAAUGCAAUGGGAAACUACACAACAAAUACUGUUAACGGAGUUCGGCCGUUCUUCUUCAAUGCACUUUUGUGUUGAAUGGUGUGGGGAGGGGAGAGAGGGAUGGAGUUACUUGCAACAAAAGAAGCAACAAACGCGGGAUGUAAAGGAGGAGCUGAUAAAGGACGUACUUCCAAAAAGGGCUGAAAAUGCCCAGCUGGCUUGGCGGAGAAGCGCCAAAAAGAGAAAGGGGGAGGGAGCUCCCAUGCAAGAGCGAGAGAAAGCAAUAGGAGAGAAAGAGAAGCAGAAACUGCAGCAGAAGCGAAUGAAAGUGCAUAAAGCAAGUUGGGUAAAUUGUGCAACGGUGUUUGUUUGCAAGUGUAAGUGUGAGUAUCGGGAAAAUUGUAAAUGAUAAGCAAAAGAUGCGGAUGCUGAUAAUCAAGCUGGGGGAAGAGACAACAAAAAAACGAAGAAGAAGAAGAUAACUGAAAAACUAGCUGGUGAAAAGUUUAAAAAAACAUCUCCAUUAACCCAUUGAUGAUGGGUGUUAAAAUUUUUAUAAAUUAUAUAUUUAAGAAAUCUAAUCUUAAGUCUAUAACAAUAAAUAUAAAAUUAUUAAAAACAAU